GACGAGGUGGCCGAGUGGUUAAGGCGAUGGACUGCUAAUCCAUUGUGCUCUGCACGCGUGGGUAUGAAUCCAAUCUUCGUCG
This is a non-coding RNA of Ciona savignyi (Pacific transparent sea squirt), 82 nucleotides long. Lineage: Eukaryota; Metazoa; Chordata; Ascidiacea; Phlebobranchia; Cionidae. The record is from Rfam.